This 359-nucleotide ribosomal RNA is filed under the name Atropsocus atratus. RNAcentral describes it as "partial 12S ribosomal RNA". Lineage: Eukaryota; Metazoa; Arthropoda; Insecta; Psocodea; Psocidae. The record is from RNAcentral.
CCCUAUUAUAAUUGAUGUAGAUUUAAUUUUGAGUAGUAUAUGAUUUAUGCAGGAAACUUAAAGAAUUUGGCGGUGUAUAUUCUAAUUAGAGGAAUAUGUUUUUUAAUUGAUACCCCACAAUUAUCUUACUUUAAUUAAUUUAUUUUGUAUAUCUCCGUCUAAAAAAGAUUUUUUAAAAUAUUUUUUAGGUUUUAUAAUUUAUAAUAAGUCAGGUCAAGGUGCAGGUUAUAUUUGAGUUGAAAUGUAUUACAAUAAAUUUAUUUUUGGAUUAGAAUUAAAAUAUUUUGUGAAAUUGGAUUUAUAAGUAAAUUUUUUUUAAUUAUAAUUGAUUGAAUUAUGUUAAUAUAUAUGUACACAUC